RNAcentral lists this ribosomal RNA (252 nucleotides) under uncultured bacterium. RNAcentral's name for it is "partial 16S ribosomal RNA". It matches the Rfam family "Bacterial small subunit ribosomal RNA", at positions 29 to 274 of the family's 1533-position model. The record is from RNAcentral.
AGUGAUCGCUGGCGGCGUGCUUAACACAUGCAAGUCGAGCGAAUCUUAGCAGCACAUCGCUAAGGUUAGCGGCAGACGGGUGAGUAAUACUUGGGCAAUCUGCCCUCGAGAGGGAAACAACCUGCCGAAAGGUGGGCUAAUGUCCCAUAAGACCACAGAACGACAUCGUUCAGGGGUCAAAGCUCCGCAAGGGGCGCUUGAGGAGGAGCCCGAGUCCAUCAGCUAGUUGGUGAGGUAACGGCUCACCAAGGC